This 23-nucleotide non-coding RNA is filed under the name Arabidopsis thaliana (thale cress). The record is from RNAcentral. Lineage: Eukaryota; Viridiplantae; Streptophyta; Magnoliopsida; Brassicales; Brassicaceae.
ACUGUCCACAUUUUCUCUUUGGC